RNAcentral lists this long non-coding RNA (1427 nucleotides) under Sus scrofa (pig). RNAcentral describes it as "lncRNA (ENSSSCG00050055824.1)". The record is from RNAcentral. Lineage: Eukaryota; Metazoa; Chordata; Mammalia; Artiodactyla; Suidae.
GGGAAAAGGCAAACCGCGCAGGGCGGAGCUGUGAAUCUGCGCUCUUCGCAGCGGGAUGGUCUGCAGGUGGCCUUUUUAGGAGAGGGCCGGGCGCAGUCCAAGCAAGCCCACCAUGAUCACCCGGAGGUCUGGGCCAGGGUGGGUUCAGCGGGGAUCGGUGGGGAGCGAGGAGGUGCCAGGAGGUUGGGGAAGAAAGGAGAGGGGGUGGCCCUUGAAGCCCCCAGCUCUUGCCUGGGCCUCACGCUGAGGAGGGUGUGUGGAGUGGAGCCUGGGAGGCUUGGGGGCCAGAGGUGGGGGCCGGCCAGCCGAGGGCUCUGGGGCUGGAGCUGGCCUGGGAGAUCAGUCAGGGACUCCACCUCACUGGGCUGCCCCUUGCAGAAUCCACACAGGCGACAGACCCUACAAGUGCCCACAUCCUGGCUGCGAAAAGGCUUUCACUCAGCUCUCCAACCUCCAGUCUCACCAGCGCCAGCACAACAAGGACAAGCCCUACAAGUGUCCCAACUGCUACCGGGCCUACUCGGACUCAGCCUCCCUGCAGAUCCACCUCUCAGCCCACGCCAUCAAGCACGCCAAGGCCUACUGCUGCAGCAUGUGCGGGCGGGCCUACACCUCGGUGAGUGCCAGUCUCCCGGGAGCCUCUCCCUCUCCCGGCCUCCUCACAUCUGUGCUGAUGCUCCCAUUUUCCAGGCAAGGAAACUGAGGCCAGAGAAGGGCAGUGACUCCCCAAGAUCACAGUGAGUGGCUGAGCCAGGGCUUCUCCUUCCUGGCUCUUGGCUGCUUCCGGUUGAGCUACCUCUAGGCAGCCUUUAGACUGGGUGUAGGAGUCUUGGUUUAUUCUGGGCAGUGGUGGGGAGCCUGGCACCCCUGCUCCCCAGAGCCAGGGAGAGAGAAGGGCCUUUCACCACUGAGGAAGCUGCAGCCCCCAUCAUGGCCACAAGGUGGCACCAUGACCUGGCCCAGAGUCACCCUCAUCUCCCAGGAAAGGCUCCAACAGGGCAAGAAAGAUGCCAGCCUCCUGUCCUUAGGUGGGAAUUUCCCUAAACAAGGGCCUUGCAGACCCAGAAGAGGGAGUCCAGGUGAGAUACCUGUUGAUGUGCUUCUGGCUAAUCAAAGAUUCUGGUUAACAGACCCCACGUAUACCUAGACAGAGAUCCCCGAGCCUCAGUUUCCUCAUCUGUAAAGAGGAGGAGGUCAUAGCUCUUCACCCAUAGGGCUGCUGGCUGGCAGAGUCAGUGUCUGACAAACCUUAGCUAACACAAUUAUUUAUUCACCCAGUGUUUACUGAACGCUUGUACCCGGCACUCAGGAAUCAGGAUGCAUCAAACAGACAUAUUCUUUGCCCCUGGGGAGGUUGGAAUCUGCUGCUAGAGACAGAUAUUGAACAAGUAACCACACAAAUAAAUAUGUAAUGACAAAUUGUGGCA